CACCUUGUCAAAAUCCUCUCCUC
This 23-nucleotide non-coding RNA is filed under the name Mus musculus (house mouse). Lineage: Eukaryota; Metazoa; Chordata; Mammalia; Rodentia; Muridae. The record is from RNAcentral.